RNAcentral lists this ribosomal RNA (477 nucleotides) under uncultured organism. RNAcentral describes it as "partial 16S ribosomal RNA". It matches the Rfam family "Bacterial small subunit ribosomal RNA", at positions 333 to 801 of the family's 1533-position model. The record is from RNAcentral.
ACACUCCUGCGGGAGGCAGCAGUGGGGAAUUUUGGACAAUGGGCGAAAGCCUGAUCCAGCAAUGCCGCGUGUGUGAAGAAGGCCUUCGGGUUGUAAAGCACUUUUGUCCGGAAAGAAAUCCUUGGCUCUAAUACAGUCGAGGGAUGACGGUACCGGAAGAAUAAGCACCGGCUAACUACGUGCCAGCAGCCGCGGUAAUACGUAGGGUGCGAGCGUUAAUCGGAAUUACUGGGCGUGAAGCGUGCGCAGGCGGUUUGCUAAGACCGAUGUGAAAUCCCCGGGCUCAACCUGGGAACUGCAUUGGUGACUGGCAGGCUAGAGUAUGGCAGAGGGGGGUAGAAUUCCACGUGUAGCAGUGAAAUGCGUAGAGAUGUGGAGGAAUACCGAUGGCGAAGGCAGCCCCCUGGGCCAAUACUGACGCUCAUGCACGAAAGCGUGGGGAGCAAACAGGAUUAGAUACCCUGGUAGUCCCAUGAU